GACGAACGCUGGCGGUGUGCUUAACACAUGCAAGUCGAACGGUAAGGCCCUUUCGGGGGUACACGAGUGGCGAACGGGUGAGUAACACGUGAGUAACCUGCCCUCAUCUCUGGGAUAACAGUCGGAAACGGUUGCUAAUACUGGAUAUGAGCCUGCAAGGCAUCUUGUGGGUUGGAAAGAUUUUUUGGUUGGGGAUGGACUCGCGGCCUAUCAGCUUGUUGGUGAGGUAGUGGCUCACCAAGGCUUCGACGGGUAGCCGGCCUGAGAGGGCGACCGGCCACAUUGGGACUGAGAUACGGCCCCAACUCCUACGGGAGGCAGCAGUGGGGAAUAUUGCACAAUGGACGGAAGUCUGAUGCAGCAACGCCGCGUGCGGGAUGACGGCCUUCGGGUUGUAAACCGCUUUCAAUUGUGACGAAGCUUUUUGUGACGGUAGCAGUAGAAGAAGCACCGGCUAACUACGUG
RNAcentral lists this ribosomal RNA (465 nucleotides) under uncultured bacterium. RNAcentral describes it as "partial 16S ribosomal RNA". It matches the Rfam family "Bacterial small subunit ribosomal RNA", at positions 28 to 507 of the family's 1533-position model. The record is from RNAcentral.